RNAcentral lists this long non-coding RNA (1168 nucleotides) under Anas platyrhynchos platyrhynchos (common mallard). RNAcentral describes it as "lncRNA (ENSAPLG00000026855.1)". The record is from RNAcentral. Lineage: Eukaryota; Metazoa; Chordata; Aves; Anseriformes; Anatidae.
GGAAAAAGGGUCUGUAGCAGGCUAUUAAGCUGACAAAUUAGAACAGGCUAAGAAACCCCCUGACUUGAAAACAAUAGGACAAGGGAGCAUUAGUCUCCAUUAGGGAUUUGUUUAUAGUUGUUUUUGGGAACAGAAUACUUAAUGAGAUGAACCCUUGAGCUAAACCAAUAAUGAUAUUCUCAUGUUAUUGAAAGAGAUUUGAAAAAGAACAAAAUUACACCACAUACAUUGACAGGAAUCAAACUCUGGGAUGGCAUCCUUGCAGAGGAACUGACUCUUGUACUCAGUGACAGAUGGCAGGAAAGGAUUUGUCCUUCCUGGAAGACCUUCAUUGCUGAAGACCUUCUGCAACGUAAGGAGUGUUUGACUUGAGGGGGAGUAGGCAAAAAGCAGAUGUCCUUCUGCUAUUAACAAGAUGUUACUUAAAACUUCUUUCUUAUCUGUCAAUUGUUGACCUCUCUCAAGCAACAUUUAUUUACUACAUGCUAGUUUUGUAUGGGCUUUUUGUCAGUAUGAAGUACAGCAUAAAAAGUUCCAAGGUAAGUCUUCUUCAGUCAAUGGAAAUAGGUUUGAUGUUAUUUGUGUAGCAUGUCAUGAACAUUGCCAAAUCUGAAUUCAAGAGGAUUUUAUGUUUUUGCAAACAGAAAUACUUCAAUAUCAUUAGAGAUAAUCUUCAUUCAUUUAGGGCUUCCCCCCCCACUUAAUCCUACAGUAUUACAUUUGUAGAUUUACAUUAUCGAUCCAUCUUAGAAUCAAUAGGAAGAGUCAAUAACUAUAAAGCUAGAUAUCUCAAGACAUUAGGGAUGUUUUAGUCAUAAAAAAAAUAAGAUGAACAGAGUCAUUGGUGAGGGAAUACUUGUCUUUACACACCACCUGGACCUUAGCAAGUGAAACUGCCUGCAGACAAAACUAGCCAUGGUGGCUGCUAUUUGUUCUAGUUCUUUUUGCCAACUUAAGAAAGGACUGUAUCAAUAAUGCAACUUUAGGGAUUACUAUUCAGGUCCUCAGUGAUAUAUCACUCCAUAAUUUACAUACCUCUGAAAGUUCUAAACCAGUUGUUUUUCUGACACCUGUCUCUGUAUUUGCCCUAGAGCAAAGCGGUGCACAUAAAGCUGCCUAGAUGUUGGUAUCAGACUGCAAGUAAUAAACUAGUCUGACAAAAAUACCA